GCGCGAAAACUUUACAAUGCGAGAAAUCGUGAUAAGGGAACCCCGAGUGCCCGUAAAUUCGGGCUGUCCAUCAGCGUAAAAAACUGGUGAAGAAAGGGCCGGGCAAGACCGGUGCCAGCCGCCGCGGUAAUACCGGCGGCUCGAGUGGUGGCCACUAUUACUGGGCUUAAAGCGUCCGUAGCUGGAUUGUUAAGUCUCUUGGGAAAUCCGCCGGCUUGACCGGCGGGCGUUCAGGAGAAACUGGCAAUCUAGGGACCGGGAGAGGUGAGAGGUACUCCAGGGGUAGGAGUGAAAUCCUGUAAUCCUUGGGGGACCACCUGUGGCGAAGGCGUCUCACUAGAACGGCUCCGACAGUGAGGGACGAAAGCUGGGGGAGCAAACCG
RNAcentral lists this ribosomal RNA (383 nucleotides) under uncultured bacterium. RNAcentral's name for it is "bacterial SSU rRNA". It matches the Rfam family "Archaeal small subunit ribosomal RNA", at positions 339 to 726 of the family's 1478-position model. The record is from RNAcentral.